RNAcentral lists this ribosomal RNA (536 nucleotides) under Kyklioacalles reinosae. Its description in RNAcentral is "partial 16S ribosomal RNA". It matches the Rfam family "Bacterial large subunit ribosomal RNA", at positions 1819 to 2625 of the family's 2925-position model. The record is from RNAcentral. Lineage: Eukaryota; Metazoa; Arthropoda; Insecta; Coleoptera; Curculionidae.
GGCCUUUUGAUUAUAAUUUAAGGUCGAGCCUGCCCAAUGAUGAAAUUUAAUGGCCGCAGUAUACUGACUGUGCAAAGGUAGCAUAAUCAUUAGUUUUUUAAUUGAAAGCUUGUAUGAAAGGUUUGAUGAAAGAAAAGCUGUCUCUAUCUAAAAUUUUAGAAAUUUAUUUUUAAGUUAAAAAGCUUAAAUUAGUAUUGAAGACGAGAAGACCCUAUAGAGUUUUAUUUAUAUAAUAAUAGUUAGAGUUUAGUAUCUAAAAGUUUAUUUAUUAUUUUAUGAAUUUGGUUGGGGUGAUUGAAAAAUUUAUAAAACUUUUUUUGUAAUUUUACAUUUAUUUAUGAGUUUUUGAUCCUUUAAAAGAUUAUAAGAUAAAAUUACCUUAGGGAUAACAGCGUAAUUUUUUCUAGAGUUCUUAUCGAAAAAAAAGAUUGCGACCUCGAUGUUGGAUUAAAGUUUAAUUUUUGGUGUAGAAGCUAAAAAAUUAGGUCUGUUCGACCUUUAAAUUUUUACAUGAUCUGAGUUUAAACCGGUGUAAG